This 231-nucleotide ribosomal RNA is filed under the name uncultured Staphylococcus sp. Its description in RNAcentral is "partial 16S ribosomal RNA". It matches the Rfam family "Bacterial small subunit ribosomal RNA", at positions 109 to 334 of the family's 1533-position model. The record is from RNAcentral. Lineage: Bacteria; Bacillati; Bacillota; Bacilli; Caryophanales; Staphylococcaceae.
AGUAACACGUGGAUAACCUACCUAUAAGACUGGGAUAACUUCGGGAAACCGGAGCUAAUACCGGAUGAUAUUUUGAACCGCAUGGUUCAAAAGUGAAAGACGGUCUUGCUGUCACUUAUAGAUGGAUCCGCGCUGCAUUAGCUAGUUGGUAAGGUAACGGCUUACCAAGGCAACGAUGCAUAGCCGACCUGAGAGGGUGAUCGGCCACACUGGAACUGAGACACGAUCCAG